GACGGGGGUUGCAAGCGUUAUCCGGAAUCACUUGGCGUAAAGCGUCUGUAGGUGGUGAUGCAAGUCACUGGUGCAAAACUCUGGCUCAACCUGAGGAAAGCCAGUGAAACUGCAUGACUAGAGUGUGGGAGAGGUAGAAGGAAUUCCCUGAGUAGCGGUGAAAUGCGUAGAUACAGGGAAGAACACCGGAGGCGAAAGCGUUCUACUGGAACAAAACUGACACUUAGAGACGAAAGCUAGGGGAGCGAAUGGG
This 253-nucleotide ribosomal RNA is filed under the name uncultured bacterium. Its description in RNAcentral is "partial 16S ribosomal RNA". It matches the Rfam family "Bacterial small subunit ribosomal RNA", at positions 524 to 776 of the family's 1533-position model. The record is from RNAcentral.